This 254-nucleotide ribosomal RNA is filed under the name uncultured bacterium. RNAcentral describes it as "partial 16S ribosomal RNA". It matches the Rfam family "Bacterial small subunit ribosomal RNA", at positions 524 to 776 of the family's 1533-position model. The record is from RNAcentral.
UACGGGGGGAGCAAGCGUUGUUCGGAUUUACUGGGCGUAAAGGGCGCGUAGGCGGCCACUGCAAGUCAGUUGUGAAAUCUCCGGGCUCAACCCGGAAAGGUCAACUGAUACUGCAGGGCUAGAGUGCAGAAGGGGCAACUGGAAUUCUCGGUGUAGCGGUGAAAUGCGUAGAUAUCGAGAGGAACACCUGCGGCGAAGGCGGGUUGCUGGGCUGACACUGACGCUGAUGUGCGAAAGCUAGGGGAGCGAACGGG